UAUGUUGUAUCUCGCUGGAGCAAGCGUUUUGUACACCUGGAUUUGAUGUAUAUAUAGUGAACUUCUGUUUUUAUAUUUGUUCUCUUUUAGCAGCUCUAUACUACUGGUUGUAGUAUUGUAUGAUUACAGGUACAGCUAUCGCUUCGUAUACAGGAAAAAUUUCUUUGUAUAUGGCGGAUUUGUCGACGUGCCUGGAAAAACGAGUAAUCCGGGGCGUGACAUAGUCUAAAGAAGCCUUUUUCGGAUCUCAAUUCCAAGCAAAAAUAAAUACAGCCAUAUCAGAACCCAAAUAAAAUCCGAAACCCUAACUAAAAUCAAACCCAAGUUCACAAAUAAAAACCCAAAACCAAAACCUAAACCCAUAAAACCCAAAUCAAACCCAAGUCCACAAAUAAAACCCCAAAACCAAAACCUAAACCCCUCAAACCGAAAUCGAAACCAAGUCCACAAAUAAAAUCCAAACCCAACCCAAACCAAGUCCACAUAAGGACCCAAAUCCGAAUCAAGUCCACUAACAAAGCCGAAACUUGAACCCAAAUCUAAACCAAGUCCACAAAUAAAAUCCAAACCUAAACCCAAAACUCAAAUCUAAACCAAAACCCAAAACCUAAAUCAAAUCUAAACCCAAUCCAAACCAAAUCAAGUCCACAAAUAAACCCAAACCCAAAACACAAAUAGAAUCCAAACCCAAACCAAAUCAAGUCCACAAAUAAACCCAAACUCAAAUCCAAUCCAGUCCAUAAAUAACCCUAAAUCCAAAUCCAAUCAUAAAUAGAACCCGUACCCGACUUCCAACUUGGAUUCAUGAACCAAGUUCAUGACCUAAAUCCCAUGAAUCAGGAACCAAGAAUCAAUUCAUGAACCCAAAUUUUUUGAAUCAUGGACCAAAUCCUAUAAUCAAGUUCGUGAACCAAGUCCAUACACCAAAUCCUAUAAACUUGAACCAAAUCCCACAUCCCAUGUACCAAGUUCAUGAACCAUACACCAUAUUCCAUGAACCAUACCCAAGUUCAUAAACCAAGUCUCAUGAACCAUAAACCAAAUCCCAUAAGCCAAGUUCACGAACCAUACACCGUGAACUAUGAAGAAUACACAAGUUCAUGAACCGAGUCUCAUGAACCAUAAACCAAACCCAUAAACCAUACACUAAGUUCAUGAAUCAUAAACCAAGUUCAUGAACCAUACCUUAUGAACCAUGAACCAAAUGAGCCAAGUUCAUGAACCAUACACCAUGAACCAUAAACCAUACGCCAAAUUCAUGAACCAUAAACUAUGAACCAAAUCUCAUGAACUAUAAACCAUAACCCAAGCCCUAUAAACCAUACACAAGUUCAUGAACCAAAUCUCAUGAACCAUGAACCAAAUACCAUAAACUAUAUCCAAGUUCAUGAACCAAAUCCCAAUCUCAUGAACCAUAUCAAAUGCCAUAAACCAUAUCCAAGUUCAUGAACCAAAUCUCAUGAACCGUGAACCAAAUACUAUUAACCGAACCAUGAACCAAAUCCCAUAAACCAUACACCAAGUUCAUUAACAAAAUCUCAUGAACCAUGAACCAAAUGACAUAAAUUAUAUCCAAGUUCAUGAACCAAAUCCCCUGAACCAUAUCAAAUGCCAUAAAUUAUAUUCAAGUUCAUGAACCAAAUCUGAUGAACCAUACAACCAUACACCAAGUUCAUGAACCCGUAAACCAUACCCAAGUUCAUGAACCAAAUCUCAUGAACCGUAAACCAUAAACUAUGCAACGACCCGACCCGCUAGCAACAAUAACUCGUUGGGCCAAACCACCGGCCCAAAAUGCUUAAGCCCAGUUAUUAUUACUAGCACGUAGGCCUCAUAUUAACUGAUCGAAAUCAGUAUCCCAUCCGAUAUGGGACUAUUGGAGCGUUACAAACUCCCCCUGUUUAGACCCUUACGUCCUCGUCGGCUCCAAAUCAAAUCACAGACAGACAGACCAGGAUCGAAAUUACCAGGCAAUGUGAGUUCUAGAGGUGGCUCCUACGAGUUCAAAAGGUGGCUCCCACCAAACCCAUUGGUGUAGCACUUUGUCCCACAUAGCACUUAGCUCUCAGACUUCCGGCUGAUAUUCGUCUCUGAUACCAAUUGCAACAACCCGACCCGCUAACAAUAAUAACUCGUUGGGCCACACCACCGGCCCAAAAUGCUUAAAUCCAGUUAUUAUUACUAGCGUGUAGGCCUCAUAUAAACUGAUCGAAAUCAGUAUCCCAUCCGAUGUGGGACUAUUGGAGCGUUAUAAACUCCCCCUAUUUAGACCCUGACGUCCUCGUCGGGUCCAAACCAGAUCACAAACAGACAUACCAGGAUCGAAAUUACCAGGCGAUGUGAGAUUCUAGAGGUGGCUCCUACGGGUUCAAGAGGUGGCUCCCACCAAACUUGUUGGUGUAGCACUUUGUCCUGCAUAGCACUUAACUCUCAUACUUCCAGCUGGUAUUUGUCUCUGAUAUCAAUUGCAACGACUGACCCGCUAGCAACAAUAACUCGUUGGGCCAAACCACCGGCCCAAAAUGCUUAAGCCCAGUUAUUAUUACUAGCGCGUAGGCCUCAUAUAAACUGAUCGAAAUCAGUAUCCCAUCCGAUGUGGGACUAUUGGGGGCGUUACAAACCAAGUUCAUGAACCAAAUCUCAUGAACCAUAAACCAAGUUCAUGAACCAAAUAAACCAAGUUCAUGAAUCAUGAACCAAGUCCAUAAACCAAGUUCAUAAAACAAACCCAUGAACCAUAUCCAAGUUCAUGAAACAAAUCCAAUACCCAAAUCUCAUGAACCAUACACCAAGUUCAUGACUCAAAUCUCAUGAACCAUGUACCAAGUUCAUGAACCAUAAUCAAACCUUACGAACCAUACACCAAGUUUAUGAAUCAUAAACCAAACCCCAUAAACCAUACACCAAGUUCAUGAACCCAAUACCGUAAACCAUACCUAAGUUCAUGAACUAAAUAUCAUGAACCAUUCAUGAAACCCUAUGAGACAUAAACCUCAUGAACUAUACACCACAUCCCAUGAACCAAAUCCCAUACGCCAAACCUUAUGAACCAUAUACCAAACCUCAUAAACCAUAUACCAAACUCUAUGAGCCAUGUACCAAACUAUACCACAUAUUAACCUCAUGAAUUGAAUCAUGUUCAAAUCCUAUAUACCCAAAUCUCAUGAGCCAAUACCCAAAUCUCAUGAACCAUAUAUCAAGUUCAUGCCCAAAGUCCAUCAUGAAUCUUUUUUUACUCUAGCACAUACACCUAGAGUAAAAAUUAAAUAUCGACUACCCCUAAUACAUAUACUUAGGGCUAAGUCAAUUACCUUAGCACAUAUAACUAAGACAAAACAUCUCCAAAUCGACAGAAUUCUAAAUUAUAUACUUAGAAUUCAGUCGAAUGAUAUCAAAUUCAUUCGAACUCUAACACAUAUACUUAGAGUUCAUCUGACUAACCCUAAUACAUACCCUUAGGGCCUAGUCAACCUUUCACUCUAGCACAUAUACCUAGAGUGGGUAGUCAAACCAAGCUCGACUAGUCCUAAUCCAUAUACUUAGCCUUUGUUUGGUUGGGGGUUAAGGAGUGGAAUAACCCCUUAACCCCCAUAUUAUCCCCAAACACCUUCAAAAAUGGGUGGGGUUAGUUAACCCCACCUAACCCGGAAUAGCUCAUUUUGGGUGGGGUUAGCUAACCCUACCUAACUCCACCAAACCACAACCAAACAUUAUUUUCUAUUCAUAAAAACCCACUAUCCUUCUUAUCCCAUCUACUCCAACCAAACACUAUUUUUCACUAUUAGCUAACCCCACCUAACUCCACCAAAUCCCAACCAAACAUUAUUUUCUAUUCAUAAUAACCCACUAUCCUUCUUAUCCCACCUACUCCAACCAAACACUAUUUUUCACUAUCCUGAACUAACUCCAACCCCCAACCAAACACAAAAAUACUCUACCCCCACCUUAACUCUGAACUUAACCCUAUCCCUGGAAUAACUAGUUUUUCCUUAACCCCGAACCAAACGGUAGCUUAGGGUCUAGUCAGCCUUUUUGCUCUAGCACACUUACUUAGAGUAAAA
This 4061-nucleotide long non-coding RNA is filed under the name Ananas comosus (pineapple). RNAcentral's name for it is "long non-coding RNA (ACOM_LNC015407)". Lineage: Eukaryota; Viridiplantae; Streptophyta; Magnoliopsida; Poales; Bromeliaceae. The record is from RNAcentral.